Hyaena hyaena (striped hyena) is the source of this 1140-nucleotide long non-coding RNA. RefSeq lists it as uncharacterized. NCBI's taxonomy places the organism in Eukaryota, Metazoa, Chordata, Mammalia, Carnivora, Hyaenidae. The transcript is spliced from 3 exons. The record is from RefSeq and is a predicted model, not a curated record.
UGUCUCUUCAUCCUGUCCCCUCCCGUCUGUGUCCGCGCCAUCAUCGCCGGCUUCUGUCUGUGUUUUGCGAUGCCUCGACGGCCCCAAAGGCCGACCAGGCAUGCAUUUUCCCUUGAGCAACAUGAGAUGAGAACGUCAUUUCAUUUGUGUUGCAGACAGAGAGACAAAAAGAACAGAAAACCAGAGGCAGCCCCCUUCCUACUUGGAGACCCACAAGUUUUAUCAGAUCCCUACUGUGUGCUGGGUACCAGGAUACAAGGAGGAAUUGUCAUCAGUGCCGAAUUGCCCAGCGUGCAGACUAGACACAUGCUUCGAAGUCCAGAAGAGCGGGGACCCGACCACAACCUCUCCCCAGGCACAUCAGAGACAACCAGACUAUUCCAAAAAGUCCUUUUUAACUUCAGCAUACACACGCUUUUACCUCUUUGAAAAAUACAACUUUAUUUUUUAUUCGAAUUUGAUUUCUUUUCAUUUCCAUUUGGGUACAGGUCCUGAGAGAGUGGGGAUUAUUAUUCAGAAAAUAUGCCUCCCCCAUUCCUGCUUUGGAUGGAAUAUACUUCUGUGCACCACGGAUGUUGGACUUGGCCGUGUGAUUUUGCUGGUUGAUAGGUCGUGAGCGAGCACGAUUCCAGCCAAGCCUUGAAGUGUGUUUGCGUGCUGGCCCAUGCUCACUCGCUCUUCCAACAUUGCCAUGAGGAGUGUGCGCCUGUGCAUCCAAGGACGAAAAGUACCUGGAGCAGACUUGCAUGUGCCCCACCAUGGCCAGCCCAGCCCAGAGCAGUUAAGUCAUCCGAACACCUACCAACUUGCAGAUGUUUGUGUGAGACUAAGUAAUUACUGUUGUAAGCCAAUGAGCUUGGGGAUGAUUUGUUACAUGGCAUGAUUACGGCAAUAGCUGAUGGAUGGAGAUCCCAUGAUCCUUCUAGAUCUUAAUCUGGCCAUGGCCAUUCCAGUACAGUUACUGAAUUGCAGAGGAUGGGGGCGGGUAGCAAAUGUAAUUUUAAAUGAUCCUUCAAAACCUUGUCUUCCUGAUUUGACUUUGUUAUGUAAAUCAAAGUCAAUUAUAGCCUUUCAGGCACUAAAUGAAAUUUGAGGACCAUAGUGCUUAAGUGAAGUAGCAUAUGGCUAUAGAAUAAAAGA